Molecule: small nuclear RNA, 104 nt
Organism: Physeter macrocephalus (sperm whale)
Lineage: Eukaryota; Metazoa; Chordata; Mammalia; Artiodactyla; Physeteridae
Source: Ensembl
CUGCUCGCUUUGGCAGCACAUGUGCUAAAAUUGGAACGAUACAGAGAUCAGCAUGUCCCCUGCCCAAGGACGAAACGCAAAUUUGUGAAGUGUUCCAUGUUUUU